RNAcentral lists this ribosomal RNA (376 nucleotides) under uncultured Gammaproteobacteria bacterium. RNAcentral describes it as "bacterial SSU rRNA". It matches the Rfam family "Bacterial small subunit ribosomal RNA", at positions 386 to 779 of the family's 1533-position model. Lineage: Bacteria; Pseudomonadati; Pseudomonadota; Gammaproteobacteria. The record is from RNAcentral.
AUCCAGCCAUGCCGCGUGAGUGAUGAAGGCCCUAGGGUCGUAAAGCUCUUUCGCCAGGGAUGAUAAUGACAGUACCUGGUAAAGAAACCCCGGCUAACUCCGUGCCAGCAGCCGCGGUAAUACGGAGGGGGUUAGCGUUGUUCGGAAUUACUGGGCGUAAAGCGCGCGUAGGCGGACUAGUCAGUCAGAGGUGAAAUCCCAGGGCUCAACCCUGGAACUGCCUUUGAUACUGCUAGUCUUGAGUUCGAGAGAGGUGAGUGGAAUUCCGAGUGUAGAGGUGAAAUUCGUAGAUAUUCGGAGGAACACCAGUGGCGAAGGCGGCUCACUGGCUCGAUACUGACGCUGAGGUGCGAAAGUGUGGGGAGCAAACAGGAUU